This 527-nucleotide ribosomal RNA is filed under the name uncultured bacterium. RNAcentral describes it as "bacterial SSU rRNA". It matches the Rfam family "Bacterial small subunit ribosomal RNA", at positions 777 to 1304 of the family's 1533-position model. The record is from RNAcentral.
AAUAGAUACCCAGGUAGUCCACGCCGUAAACGAUGUCGACUUGGAGGUUGUUCCCUUGAGGAGUGGCUUCCGGAGCUAACGCGUUAAGUCGACCGCCUGGGGAGUACGGCCGCAAGGUUAAAACUCAAAUGAAUUGACGGGGGCCCGCACAAGCGGUGGAGCAUGUGGUUUAAUUCGAUGCGACGCGAAGAACCUUACCUACUCUUGACAUCCACGGAACUUUUCAGAGAUGAAUUGGUGCCUUCGGGAACCGUGAGACAGGUGCUGCAUGGCUGUCGUCAGCUCGUGUUGUGAAAUGUUGGGUUAAGUCCCGCAACGAGCGCAACCCUUAUCCUUUGUUGCCAGCGGUUAGGCCGGGAACUCAAAGGAGACUGCCAGUGAUAAACUGGAGGAAGGUGGGGAUGACGUCAAGUCAUCAUGGCCCUUACGAGUAGGGCUACACACGUGCUACAAUGGCGCAUACAAAGAGAAGCGACCUCGCGAGAGCAAGCGGACCUCAUAAAGUGCGUCGUAGUCCGGAUUGGAGU